RNAcentral lists this microRNA precursor (57 nucleotides) under Tupaia belangeri (northern tree shrew). RNAcentral's name for it is "miRNA (ENSTBEG00000019803.1)". The record is from RNAcentral. Lineage: Eukaryota; Metazoa; Chordata; Mammalia; Scandentia; Tupaiidae.
GGUCGGUCGGUCGGUCGGUCGGUCGGUCGGUCGGUCGAUCUAUCUAUCUCUCUCUCU